UACGGAGGGUGCAAGCGUUGUCCGGAUUUAUUGGGUUUAAAGGGUGCGUAGGCGGUUUUUUAAGUCAGUGGUGAAAUCCUGCAGCUCAACUGUAGAACAGCCAUUGAUACUGAAAAACUUGAGUACAGACGAGGUAGGCGGAAUUUAUGGUGUAGCGGUGAAAUGCAUAGAUACCAUAAAGAACACCUAUUGCGAAGGCAGCUUACUAGGCUGUAACUGACGCUGAGGCACGAAAGUGUGGGGAUCAAACAGG
This 253-nucleotide ribosomal RNA is filed under the name uncultured prokaryote. RNAcentral's name for it is "partial 16S ribosomal RNA". It matches the Rfam family "Bacterial small subunit ribosomal RNA", at positions 524 to 776 of the family's 1533-position model. The record is from RNAcentral.